This 83-nucleotide transfer RNA is filed under the name Parabacteroides merdae. RNAcentral describes it as "tRNA-Leu". It matches the Rfam family "tRNA". Rfam says of the family: Transfer RNA (tRNA) molecules are approximately 80 nucleotides in length. Their secondary structure includes four short double-helical elements and three loops (D, anti-codon, and T loops). RNAcentral also lists the same sequence under 19 other names. The record is from RNAcentral. Lineage: Bacteria; Pseudomonadati; Bacteroidota; Bacteroidia; Bacteroidales; Tannerellaceae.
GCCCGAGUGGCGGAAUGGCAGACGCGGCGGUCUCAAAAACCGUUGUCCUAGACGUGCGGGUUCAAAUCCCGCCUCGGGCACCA